AGAGUUACCUGGUCAGAUGACGUGCGCAGCCUACACAUCAAGCGACGGAGAGGGAGCUUCUCCAUAUCACGGCGGCGGGUGAGUAAGCCUAGGAAUCUGCCUGGUAGGGGGGACAACGUUUGAAAGGAACGCUAAUCCGCAUACGUCCUACGGGAGAAAGGGGGGAUCUUCGGACCUCACGCUAUCAGAUGAGCCUAGGUCGGAUUAGCUAGUUGGUGAGGUAAAGGCUCACCAAGGCGACGAUCCGUAACUGGUCUGAGAGGAUGAUCAGUCACACUGGAACUGAGACACGGUCCAGACUCCUACGGGAGGCAGCAGUGGGGAAUAUUGGACAAUGGGCGAAAGCCUGAUCCAGCCAUGCCGCGUGUGUGAAGAAGGUCUUCGGAUUGUAAAGCACUUUAAGUUGGGAGGAAGGGCAGUAAGUUAAUACCUUGACUGUUUUUGGCGGUAGC
This 452-nucleotide ribosomal RNA is filed under the name Stutzerimonas stutzeri. RNAcentral's name for it is "bacterial SSU rRNA". It matches the Rfam family "Bacterial small subunit ribosomal RNA", at positions 39 to 479 of the family's 1533-position model. Lineage: Bacteria; Pseudomonadati; Pseudomonadota; Gammaproteobacteria; Pseudomonadales; Pseudomonadaceae. The record is from RNAcentral.